UUAAUUGAAACCAAAUAGAGGUUUAUCACUGUUAAUGAUAAAAUUGAGAAAGUAUCUCCGAUUAAA
This 66-nucleotide transfer RNA is filed under the name Psylliodes sp. BMNH 846644. RNAcentral describes it as "tRNA-Asn". The record is from RNAcentral. Lineage: Eukaryota; Metazoa; Arthropoda; Insecta; Coleoptera; Chrysomelidae.